UGGGAUUUCAGACCGUGUCUCGGAAUGGCCCAUGAUCCGAAUAAGGAGUUGGUAGUAGUGCCUGGUGUGGAGGACAUCUGGGCGCCAUCCUCCAGGUGGGCCAUCCCUGGCUGCUUCCUGAUGGAGGAGGGGCACGCGGCCAGGACGGGGAAGUGACAGCGGAGUGCCCCAGAGCAGCGAGUCCCUUGCCUGGGCACUGCCCUUCCGUCGCGGGGAAGAAGGCCGUCUCUUUCCAACGCUGGGCAACGGGACCCCACCGUGCACUGCUGAAACCGUCCCGAGCUUGCCGGUUGGGAAGAUUGUCCCCGCUCUCACGGCCUCCAGACGGGAGAGGUGCCUCCACGGGGCGCAUGCGGACGGACGUCGCCAGCGGGCACGUGACUUUGAGCUGUCGGGGCUGGGGCUGCCUUGGAAGGAGCCGCGCACAUUCCUGGGGCCCUCCAGGUGUCACGUCCAAACCCUGCCGGAAGGCCCCACAGCUAUAAUAAGCUUUUUCAUGACGGGUCUUGGGAGGAAUUAGAAAUAUAACUUUUCAGGCGCUUACUGAUUAUCCAUGAAAGGGGCACGCCGUGAGAUUUGUGGCCCCCCCUUUUAAAGGCACUGAUUUCUAUAUUAAAACAAUAAAAUAUGUCCAAGG
RNAcentral lists this long non-coding RNA (637 nucleotides) under Mustela putorius furo (domestic ferret). RNAcentral describes it as "lncRNA (ENSMPUG00000030806.1)". Lineage: Eukaryota; Metazoa; Chordata; Mammalia; Carnivora; Mustelidae. The record is from RNAcentral.